GACGUAGGGGACGAGCGUUGUCCGGAUUCAUUGGGCGUAAAGCGCGUGUAGGCGGUCCGGUAAGUCCGCUGUGAAAGUCGGGGGCUCAACCCUCGGAUGCCGGUGGAUACUGUCGGGCUUGAGUACGGAAGAGGCGAGUGGAAUUCCUGGUGUAGCGGUGAAAUGCGCAGAUAUCAGGAGGAACACCAAUUGCGAAGGCAGCUCGCUGGGACGUUACUGACGCUGAGACGCGAAAGCGUGGGGAGCAAACAGG
RNAcentral lists this ribosomal RNA (253 nucleotides) under uncultured bacterium. RNAcentral's name for it is "partial 16S ribosomal RNA". It matches the Rfam family "Bacterial small subunit ribosomal RNA", at positions 524 to 776 of the family's 1533-position model. The record is from RNAcentral.